This 550-nucleotide ribosomal RNA is filed under the name Funneliformis mosseae. Its description in RNAcentral is "SSU rRNA". It matches the Rfam family "Eukaryotic small subunit ribosomal RNA", at positions 548 to 1098 of the family's 1831-position model. The record is from RNAcentral. Lineage: Eukaryota; Fungi; Glomeromycota; Glomeromycetes; Glomerales; Glomeraceae.
UUGGAGGGCAAGUCUGGUGCUAGCAGCCGCGGUAAUUCCAGCUCCAAUAGCGUAUAUUAAAGUUGUUGCAGUUAAAAAGCUCGUAGUCGAAUUUCGGGAUCAAUAUUUCGGUCAUGCCGUUGGUAUGCACUGUUAUCAUUGAUUUCUCACCUUCUAAAGAACCGUGAUGCCAUUAAUUUGGUGUUACGGGGAAUUAGGACUGUUACCUUGAAAAAAUUAGAGUGUUUAAAGCAGGCUCACGCUUGAAUACAUUAGCAUGGAAUAAUGAAAUAGGACAUCCGAUUCUAUUUUGUUGGUUUCUAGGAUCGAUGUAAUGAUUAAUAGGGAUAGUUGGGGGCAUUAGUAUUCAAUUGUCAGAGGUGAAAUUCUUGGAUUUAUUGAAGACUAACUACUGCGAAAGCAUUUGCCAAGGAUGUUUUCAUUAAUCAAGAACGAAAGUUAGGGGAUCGAAGACGAUCAGAUGCCGUCGUAGUCUUAACCAUAAACUAUGCCGACUAGGGAUCGGAUGAUGUUAAUUUUUUAAUGACUCAUUCGGCGCCUUACGGGAAAC